GGUGAAAAGCACCCCGGAAGGGGAGUGAAAUAGAACCUGAAACCGUGUGCUUACAAGUAGUCAGAGCCCGUUAAUGGGUGAUGGCGUGCCUUUUGUAGAAUGAACCGGCGAGUUACGAUUUGAUGCAAGGUUAAGCAGUAAAUGUGGAGCCGUAGCGAAAGCGAGUCUGAAUAGGGCGUUUAGUAUUUGGUCGUAGACCCGAAACCAGGUGAUCUACCCUUGGUCAGGUUGAAGUUCAGGUAACACUGAAUGGAGGACCGAACCGACUUACGUUGAAAAGUGAGCGGAUGAACUGAGGGUAGCGGAGAAAUUCCAAUCGAACCUGGAGAUAGCUGGUUCUCUCCGAAAUAGCUUUAGGGCUAGCCUCAAGUGAUGAUUAUUGGAGGUAGAGCACUGUUUGGACGAGGGGCCCCUCUCGGGUUACCGAAUUCAGACAAACUCCGAAUGCCAAUUAAUUUAACUUGGGAGUCAGAACAUGGGUGAUAAGGUCCGUGUUCGAAAGGGAAACAGCCCAGACCACCAGCUAAGGUCCCAAAAUAUAUGUUAAGUGGAAAAGGAUGUGGCGUUGCCCAGACAACUAGGAUGUUGGCUUAGAAGCAGCCAUCAUUUAAAGAGUGCGUAAUAGCUCACUAGUCGAGUGACACUGCGCCGAAAAUGUACCGGGGCUAAACAUAUUACCGAAGCUGUGGAUUGUCCUUUGGACAAUGGUAGGAGAGCGUUCUAAGGGCGUUGAAGCAUGAUCGUAAGGACAUGUGGAGCGCUUAGAAGUGAGAAUGCCGGUGUGAGUAGCGAAAGACGGGUGAGAAUCCCGUCCACCGAUUGACUAAGGUUUCCAGAGGAAGGCUCGUCCGCUCUGGGUUAGUCGGGUCCUAAGCUGAGGCCGACAGGCGUAGGCGAUGGAUAACAGGUUGAUAUUCCUGUACCACCUAUAAUCGUUUUAAUCGAUGGGGGGACGCAGUAGGAUAGGCGAAGCGUGCGAUUGGAUUGCACGUCUAAGCAGUAAGGCUGAGUAUUAGGCAAAUCCGGUACUCAUUAAGGCUGAGCUGUGAUGGGGAGAAGACAUUGUGUCUUCGAGUCGUUGAUUUCACACUGCCGAGAAAAGCCUCUAGAUAGAAAAUAGGUGCCCGUACCGCAAACCGACACAGGUAGUCAAGAUGAGAAUUCUAAGGUGAGCGAGCGAACUCUCGUUAAGGAACUCGGCAAAAUGACCCCGUAACUUCGGGAGAAGGGGUGCUCUUUAGGGUUAACGCCCAGAAGAGCCGCAGUGAAUAGGCCCAAGCGACUGUUUAUCAAAAACACAGGUCUCUGCUAAACCGUAAGGUGAUGUAUAGGGGCUGACGCCUGCCCGGUGCUGGAAGGUUAAGAGGAGUGGUUAGCUUCUGCGAAGCUACGAAUCGAAGCCCCAGUAAACGGCGGCCGUAACUAUAACGGUCCUAAGGUAGCGAAAUUCCUUGUCGGGUAAGUUCCGACCCGCACGAAAGGCGUAACGAUUUGGGCACUGUCUCAACGAGAGACUCGGUGAAAUCAUAGUACCUGUGAAGAUGCAGGUUACCCGCGACAGGACGGAAAGACCCCGUGGAGCUUUACUGUAGCCUGAUAUUGAAAUUCGGCACAGCUUGUACAGGAUAGGUAGGAGCCUUUGAAACGUGAGCGCUAGCUUACGUGGAGGCGCUGGUGGGAUACUACCCUAGCUGUGUUGGCUUUCUAACCCGCACCACUUAUCGUGGUGGGAGACAGUGUCAGGCGGGCAGUUUGACUGGGGCGGUCGCCUCCUAAAAGGUAACGGAGGCGCUCAAAGGUUCCCUCAGAAUGGUUGGAAAUCAUUCAUAGAGUGUAAAGGCAUAAGGGAGCUUGACUGCGAGACCUACAAGUCGAGCAGGGUCGAAAGACGGACUUAGUGAUCCGGUGGUUCCGCAUGGAAGGGCCAUCGCUCAACGGAUAAAAGCUACCCCGGGGAUAACAGGCUUAUCUCCCCCAAGAGUUCACAUCGACGGGGAGGUUUGGCACCUCGAUGUCGGCUCAUCGCAUCCUGGGGCUGUAGUCGGUCCCAAGGGUUGGGCUGUUCGCCCAUUAAAGCGGUACGCGAGCUGGGUUCAGAACGUCGUGAGACAGUUCGGUCCCUAUCCGUCGUGGGCGUAGGAAAUUUGAGAGGAGCUGUCCUUAGUACGAGAGGACCGGGAUGGACAUACCUCUGGUGUACCAGUUGUCGUGCCAACGGCAUAGCUGGGUAGCUAUGUGUGGACGGGAUAAGUGCUGAAA
This 2259-nucleotide ribosomal RNA is filed under the name Staphylococcus aureus. RNAcentral describes it as "partial 23S ribosomal RNA". It matches the Rfam family "Bacterial large subunit ribosomal RNA", at positions 513 to 2776 of the family's 2925-position model. The record is from RNAcentral. Lineage: Bacteria; Bacillati; Bacillota; Bacilli; Caryophanales; Staphylococcaceae.